Long non-coding RNA from Drosophila yakuba, 2063 nucleotides. RefSeq lists it as uncharacterized. The transcript has 2 exons. The record is from RefSeq and is a predicted model, not a curated record. Lineage: Eukaryota; Metazoa; Arthropoda; Insecta; Diptera; Drosophilidae.
AGGUGCCGCGUAGAGCACUUUGUCUUCGUUCUUUAUCGACGCAUUAUUGUGGUUUUAAGACUUCAUUUUUUUUUAUUUGCUGUGAAGAGGUCCACCCCGAAGGAUGUGUGUGCUUGAGGGUCCACAAGCUAGUGUCUGAAUUUGAGUCACAGCCCGUUGCAAAUGGUGGCGUUGUUGUCGUGGAAUAAUUAAAGCAAAUUUGCACUUCAGACAGUCGCCCGUGGAAAAACAAGGCAAACAUCUCAGCUCUCAACGCUGGCGACCCACAACAAGAGCGCUGCCGAAUCACCAGACCCAGGUACAAUCGAGGAUACCGCCUCCUUAAGGAGCAGCAAAAACCCAUACGAAUUUUCGGGAUUAAAAUCCGACUUCAGCAUACCCAUUAUGUACUGGGAAGCAAACUGCAACUGCAAAGAGCAUUUGCAUCUUAUGCUUGUUACAUACUGCCCAGCUCAUCUGAUAUACCCCUUCGAAAUAGAAAUUCCGUUUAUAACAACAAAAACACCGUCAGCUGCCACUGCCAACAUCAACAAAAAGGGGUGCUCCAAAGUGUUUCGAGGACUCGUACCUCCUACAACGACAAUUGCAACAACAGCAAUGCAGAACAAAACGCCAGUCAGCCGGGAAAGUACGCAAAAAAAUGUCUUUAUGUACGGAAGGCAAGGUACGAACACGGGUAUAUGUAUAUGUACAUAUGUAUGUUUGGGCUACCAUAAUAUGGAACAGAGCCAGCAACACAAAAAACAAUGCCAGUGAGUGGCACAGAGCGCUGGAACAGGAGCGGUUCACAUGGCCAAGAAGCUAUGGUAAUGCCACACUACUUAACUCUGGGAUAAGUUUGAAGUUCCAACAAAUAAGCAUUAUGUUCACAAAUUGCAGGAACUGUUAUGCUUAACAAAUUGGUAAAAUUACAUGUACGAAGCUGCGUAUACUUAAUUUUACGGAAAUUACGUAUACGAUAUUACGUAUACGUAAUGUUAAUGGAAGUUAAGGGGAAUAUAAAAACAGUACUAAAUAAAGCUAGAUUAACUUAAUAUUAUACAAAAAACAUUUUAAUAUUAUAUAUUUAAUAUUUCAUUACUUUCUUUGGAACUCAUAACCUAAUUACCUAAUUAAUCUAAUUCAACCUAAUUAAAAUCAACAAUAAAAACAAAAAUGUUUUUUCUUAAAUAAAAGUAAGCUUUAAGCACUUCACUUCUGUUCAUCUAAAUAAAGUUAUCAAGAAAUGGUGCCCAUACAUAUUUCGUGAUCCUGUAUUGCCGCUUGCCGCUCCUGUGGCCAAGAGAGCAAAGCGGAAAGGAGGAAACCGAACGGCGACCGCGAUGACGGACUCGUGCGGAUGCUGCUGAUGCCGAUGCUGAGCCGAUGUGGAUGUGGAUGCCGACGAGGAUGAAGAUGACGAUGCUGCUGCUCGGCUCUUCCUGUGGCUUUUCUCACUUGCUGAGCGCAACAAGGACCAAAAAAUGCCAGCACGGCAACAACAAUGGCCAACAACAAUAAAAAUAGCGAAUGGCAACAAUAAACUGGGCUUGCGCCAAAAACGAAAUGCGAAAAUUUGUGGGAAGAGCGAGCGAGAAUCGUCUUCUCACGACAACAGGACGGGAACAACAACAGAAACAACAAAGGAGUAACGAGAUGGGAAAACAAAAUCACACACACACACACUUGAAGAGCGACUCUCACAAAAAGCUGCUCAAAGUCAGUGUUUCGGGUGGAUGCGUGUGUGUGUGUGUUAGUGGGAGAGAUUCACCCGAAAAAAGUUUUCAACUUGAAAUUGAACUGUGUGUGCCAUAGUUGAAGGUAGAAGAAGCAGCAUCAGACAAAUUGGAGAGCGCCAGUUGUUGUUGCUUCAGAUGCUGAUGCUGAUGCUGCUCUUCUCUCUCCUCCUCUACACAGACAGAAAUGUGGUUACAAUAAUCAAUAUGAUGAUGACAAACUAUUUUCAUUUAAACUGUUUUCUUGUAUUAGUGAUUAAUGCAUAAAAACUAUUUAAUAUGCCAAUUCAUAUUUAAUCAUAUUUAUACGUGUUAAUAAAGACAACUAAGCAAAAUAAUGAUUCUUAA